Molecule: ribosomal RNA, 420 nt
Filed under: Fusobacteriota bacterium
Lineage: Bacteria; Fusobacteriati; Fusobacteriota
Description: Fusobacteria bacterium partial 16S ribosomal RNA
Rfam family: Bacterial small subunit ribosomal RNA
Source: RNAcentral
UGGGGGAUAUUGCACAAUGGGCGAAAGCCUGAUGCAGCGACGCCGCGUGGGGGAUGAAGGCCUUCGGGUUGUAAACUUCUCUUGCCCUGAACAAGGCAUGCCUUUGGGGUGUGUUGAGUGUAGGGGUUGAUUAGCGCCGGCUAACUACGUGCCAGCAGCCGCGGUAAUACGUAGGGCGCGAGCGUUGUCCGGAAUUAUUGGGCGUAAAGGGCUUGUAGGUGGCUGGUUGCGUCUGUCGUGAAAGCUCAUGGCUUAACUGUGGGUUUGCGGUGGGUACGGGCUGGCGUGAGUGCAGUAGGGGAGGCUGGAAUUGCGGGUGUGGGGGUGGAAUGCGCAAAUAUAAGGAGGAAUACCGGUGGCGAAGACGGGUCUCUGGGCUGUUACUGACGCUGAGGAGCGAAAGCGUGGGGAGCGAACAGG